CCUGAUGCAGCGACGCCGCGUGAGGGAUGACGGCCUUCGGGUUGUAAACCUCUUUCAGCAGGGAAGAAGCGAAAGUGACGGUACCUGCAGAAGAAGCGCCGGCUAACUACGUGCCAGCAGCCGCGGUAAUACGUAGGGCGCAAGCGUUGUCCGGAAUUAUUGGGCGUAAAGAGCUCGUAGGCGGCUUGUCACGUCGGAUGUGAAAGCCCGAGGCUUAACCUCGGGUCUGCAUUCGAUACGGGCUAGCUAGAGUGUGGUAGGGGAGAUCGGAAUUCCUGGUGUAGCGGUGAAAUGCGCAGAUAUCAGGAGGAACACCGGUGGCGAAGGCGGAUCUCUGGGCCAUUACUGACGCUGAGGAGCGAAAGCGUGGGGAGCGAACAGGAUUAGAUACCCUGGUAGUCCACGCCGUAAACGUUGGGAACUAGGUGUUGGCGACAUUCCACGUCGUCGGUGCCGCAGCUAACGCAUUAAGUUCCCCGCCUGGGGAGUACGGCCGCAAGGCUAAAACUCAAAGGAAUUGACGGGGGCCCGCACAAGCGGCGGAGCAUGUGGCUUAAUUCGACGCAACGCGAAGAACCUUACCAAGGCUUGACAUAUACCGGAAAGCAUUAGAGAUAGUGCCCCCCUUGUGGUCGGU
This 637-nucleotide ribosomal RNA is filed under the name Streptomyces sp. So2Ps_1691. RNAcentral describes it as "bacterial SSU rRNA". It matches the Rfam family "Bacterial small subunit ribosomal RNA", at positions 382 to 1031 of the family's 1533-position model. Lineage: Bacteria; Bacillati; Actinomycetota; Actinomycetes; Kitasatosporales; Streptomycetaceae. The record is from RNAcentral.